GCCAGCGAAGUGUAGUGGUUUGAGCAUUGGACUACAACUCCAGAGACCAGGGUUUGAAUCCUGGCUCGGUCA
This is a non-coding RNA of Phrynosoma platyrhinos (Desert horned lizard), 72 nucleotides long. The record is from the annotation of a GenBank genome assembly. Lineage: Eukaryota; Metazoa; Chordata; Lepidosauria; Squamata; Phrynosomatidae.